GACGAACGCUGGCGGCGUGCUUAACACAUGCAAGUCGAACGGAAAGGCCCUGCUUUUGUGGGGUGCUCGAGUGGCGAACGGGUGAGUAACACGUGAGUAACCUGCCCUUGACUUUGGGAUAACUUCAGGAAACUGGGGCUAAUACCGGAUAGGAGCUCCUGCUGCAUGGUGGGGGUUGGAAAGUUUCGGCGGUUGGGGAUGGACCCGCGGCUUAUCAGCUUGUUGGUGGGGUAGUGGCUUACCAAGGCUUUGACGGGAAGCCGGCCUGAGAGGGUGACCGGCCACAUUGGGACUGAGAUACGGCCCAGACUCCUACGGGAGGCAGCAGUGGGGAAUAUUGCACAAUGGGCGGAAGCCUGAUGCAGCAACGCCGCGUGCGGGAUGACGGCCUUCGGGUUGUAAACCGCUUUCGCCUGUGACGAAGCGUGAGUGACGGUAAUGGGUAAAGAAGCACCAGCUAACUACGUG
Molecule: ribosomal RNA, 468 nt
Filed under: uncultured bacterium
Lineage: Bacteria
Description: partial 16S ribosomal RNA
Rfam family: Bacterial small subunit ribosomal RNA
Source: RNAcentral